AUUAAACGCUGGCGGCAUGCCUUACACAUGCAAGUCGAACGGUAGCGCGGGGCAACCUGGCGACGAGUGGCGAACGGGUGAGUAAAGCAUCGGAACGUGCCCUGGAAUGGGGGAUAACGUAGCGAAAGUCACGCUAAUACCGCAUAUUCUGUGAGCAGGAAAGCAGGGGAUCGCAAGACCUUGCGUUCUGGGAGCGGCCGAUGUCGGAUUAGCUAGUUGGUGGGGUAAAAGCCUACCAAGGCGACGAUCCGUAGCGGGUCUGAGAGGAUGAUCCGCCACACUGGGACUGAGACACGGCCCAGACUCCUACGGGAGGCAGCAGUGGGGAAUUUUUGGGACAAUGGGCGGAAGCCUGAUCCAGCCAUGCCGCGUGAGUGAAGAAGGCCUGGUGU
This 392-nucleotide ribosomal RNA is filed under the name uncultured bacterium. Its description in RNAcentral is "bacterial SSU rRNA". It matches the Rfam family "Bacterial small subunit ribosomal RNA", at positions 29 to 422 of the family's 1533-position model. The record is from RNAcentral.